Molecule: ribosomal RNA, 396 nt
Filed under: uncultured bacterium
Lineage: Bacteria
Description: partial 16S ribosomal RNA
Rfam family: Bacterial small subunit ribosomal RNA
Source: RNAcentral
AAACGUAGGUGGCAAGCGUUGUCCGGAAUUACUGGGUGUAAAGGGAGCGCAGGUGGAUUGACAAGUCGAAUGUGAAAUGCAGAGGCUCAACCUCUGAACUGCGCUCGAUACUGUUGAUCUUGAGUGGAGUAGGGGCAGGCGGAAUUCCCGGUGUAGCGGGGGAAGGCGUAGAUAUCGGGAGGAAUACCGGUAGCGAAGGCGGCCUGCUGGGCUCUAACUGACACUGAGGCUCGAAAGCGUGGGGAGCAAACAGGAUUAGAUACCCUGGUAGUCCACGCCGUAAACGAUGAUUACUAGGUGUGGGGGGACUGACCCCUUCCGUGCCGAAGUUAACACAUUAAGUAACCCACCUGGGGAGUACGACCGCAAGGUUGAAACUCAAAGGAAUUGACGGGG